UACGUAGGGUGCGAGCGUUAAUCGGAAUUACUGGGCGUAAAGCGUGCGCAGGCGGUUUUGUAAGCCAGAUGUGAAAUCCCCGGGCUUAACCUGGGAAUGGCAUUUGGGACUGCAAGGCUGGAGUGCGGCAGAGGAGACUGGAAUUCCUGGUGUAGCGGUGAAAUGCGCAGAUAUCAGGAGGAACACCAGUGGCGAAGGCGGUGCUCUGGGCCGGAACUGACGCUGAGGAGCGAAAGCGUGGGGAGCAAACAGG
This 253-nucleotide ribosomal RNA is filed under the name uncultured bacterium. Its description in RNAcentral is "partial 16S ribosomal RNA". It matches the Rfam family "Bacterial small subunit ribosomal RNA", at positions 524 to 776 of the family's 1533-position model. The record is from RNAcentral.